CCUACGGGUGGCAGCAGUGAGGAAUAUUGGUCAAUGGGCGGGAGCCUGAACCAGCCAAGUCGCGUGCGGGAUUACGGCCCUACGGGUCGUAAACCGCUUUUGCCCGGGGGUAACACCCUCCACUUGUUGAGGUCUGCAGGUACCGUACGAAUAAGGGCCGGCUAAUUCCGUGCCCGCAGCCGCGGUAAUACGGAGGGCCCGAGCGUUAUCCGGAUUUAUUGGGCUUAAAGGGAGCGUAGGCGGGCGGUCAAGUCAGCGGUAAAAUCGCGCGGCUCACCCCCGCCCCGCAGUUGAAACUGGAGGUCUUGAGUUCACAAGAGGCAGGCGGAAUGCGUGGUGUAGCGGUGAAAUGCAUAGAUAUCACGCGGAACCCCGAUUGCGAAGGCAGCCUGCCGGGGUGCGACUGACGCUGAGGCUCGAAGGUGUGGGUAUCAAACAGGAUUAGAUACCCGUGUAGUC
This 459-nucleotide ribosomal RNA is filed under the name uncultured bacterium. RNAcentral describes it as "partial 16S ribosomal RNA". It matches the Rfam family "Bacterial small subunit ribosomal RNA", at positions 338 to 795 of the family's 1533-position model. The record is from RNAcentral.